UGUUUCGGCAAGGGGGUCAUCCCGACUUACCAACCCGAUGCAAACUGCGAAUACCGGAGAAUGUUAUCACGGGAGACACACGGCGGGUGCUAACGUCCGUCGUGAAGAGGGAAACAACCCAGACCGCCAGCUAAGGUCCCAAAGUCAUGGUUAAGUGGGAAACGAUGUGGGAAGGCCCAGACAGCCAGGAUGUUGGCUUAGAAGCAGCCAUCAUUUAAAGAAAGCGUAAUAGCUCACUGGUCGAGUCGGCCUGCGCGGAAGAUGUAACGGGGCUAAACCAUGCACCGAAGCUGCGGCAGCGACGCUUAUGCGUUGUUGGGUAGGGGAGCGUUCUGUAAGCCUGUGAAGGUGUGCUGUGAGGCAUGCUGGAGGUAUCAGAAGUGCGAAUGCUGACAUAAGUAACGAUAAAGCGGGUGAAAAGCCCGCUCGCCGGAAGACCAAGGGUUCCUGUCCAACGUUAAUCGGGGCAGGGUGAGUCGACCCCUAAGGCGAGGCCGAAAGGCGUAGUCGAUGGGAAACAGGUUAAUAUUCCUGUACUUGGUGUUACUGCGAAGGGGGGACGGAGAAGGCUAUGUUGGCCGGGCGACGGUUGUCCCGGUUUAAGCGUGUAGGCUGGUUUUCCAGGCAAAUCCGGAAAAUCAAGGCUGAGGCGUGAUGACGAGGCACUACGGUGCUGAAGCAACAAAUGCCCUGCUUCCAGGAAAAGCCUCUAAGCAUCAGGUAACAUCAAAUCGUACCCCAAACCGACACAGGUGGUCAGGUAGAGAAUACCAAGGCGCUUGAGAGAACUCGGGUGAAGGAACUAGGCAAAAUGGUGCCGUAACUUCGGGAGAAGGCACGCUGAUAUGUAGGUGAAGUCCCUCGCGGAUGGAGCUGAAAUCAGUCGAAGAUACCAGCUGGCUGCAACUGUUUAUUAAAAACACAGCACUGUGCAAACACGAAAGUGGACGUAUACGGUGUGACGCCUGCCCGGUGCCGGAAGGUUAAUUGAUGGGGUCAGCGCAAGCGAAGCUCUUGAUCGAAGCCCCGGUAAACGGCGGCCGUAACUAUAACGGUCCUAAGGUAGCGAAAUUCCUUGUCGGGUAAGUUCCGACCUGCACGAAUGGCGUAAUGAUGGCCAGGCUGUCUCCACCCGAGACUCAGUGAAAUUGAACUCGCUGUGAAGAUGCAGUGUACCCGCGGCAAGACGGAAAGACCCCGUGAACCUUUACUAUAGCUUGACACUGAACAUUGAGCCUUGAUGUGUAGGAUAGGUGGGAGGCUUAGAAGUGUGGACGCCAGUCUGCAUGGAGCCGACCUUGAAAUACCACCCUUUAAUGUUUGAUGUUCUAACGUUGACCCGUAAUCCGGGUUGCGGACAGUGUCUGGUGGGUAGUUUGACUGGGGCGGUCUCCUCCUAAAGAGUAACGGAGGAGCACGAAGGUUGGCUAAUCCUGGUCGGACAUCAGGAGGUUAGUGCAAUGGCAUAAGCCAGCUUGACUGCGAGCGUGACGGCGCGAGCAGGUGCGAAAGCAGGUCAUAGUGAUCCGGUGGUUCUGAAUGGAAGGGCCAUCGCUCAACGGAUAAAAGGUACUCCGGGGAUAACAGGCUGAUACCGCCCAAGAGUUCAUAUCGACGGCGGUGUUUGGCACCUCGAUGUCGGCUCAUCACAUCCUGGGGCUGAAGUAGGUCCCAAGGGUAUGGCUGUUCGCCAUUUAAAGUGGUACGCGAGCUGGGUUUAGAACGUCGUGAGACAGUUCGGUCCCUAUCUGCCGUGGGCGCUGGAGAACUGAGGGGGGCUGCUCCUAGUACGAGAGGACCGGAGUGGACGCAUCACUGGUGUUCGGGUUGUCAUGCCAAUGGCACUGCCCGGUAGCUAAAUGCGGAAGAGAUAAGUGCUGAAAGCAUCUAAGCACGAAACUUGCCCCGAGAUGAGUUCUCCCUGACUCCUUGAGAGUCCUGAAGGAACGUUGAAGACGACGACGUUGAUA
This 1970-nucleotide ribosomal RNA is filed under the name Escherichia coli. RNAcentral describes it as "partial 23S ribosomal RNA". It matches the Rfam family "Bacterial large subunit ribosomal RNA", at positions 911 to 2858 of the family's 2925-position model. The record is from RNAcentral. Lineage: Bacteria; Pseudomonadati; Pseudomonadota; Gammaproteobacteria; Enterobacterales; Enterobacteriaceae.